GCGGGGAUAGAGCAGGUUUGGUAGCUCGCAAGGCUCAUAACCUUGAGGUCAUGAGUUCAAACUCCCAUUCCCGCA
RNAcentral lists this transfer RNA (75 nucleotides) under Corchorus olitorius. It matches the Rfam family "tRNA". Rfam says of the family: Transfer RNA (tRNA) molecules are approximately 80 nucleotides in length. The record is from Rfam by way of RNAcentral. Lineage: Eukaryota; Viridiplantae; Streptophyta; Magnoliopsida; Malvales; Malvaceae.